AGGGAUUUAGCUCAGUGGUCCUGCCAUCUGCCUCAAAAGCAGAAGGACCCAAGUUCGAUUCCUGGUACCCCCC
Molecule: transfer RNA, 73 nt
Filed under: Heterocephalus glaber (naked mole-rat)
Lineage: Eukaryota; Metazoa; Chordata; Mammalia; Rodentia; Bathyergidae
Rfam family: tRNA
About the family: Transfer RNA (tRNA) molecules are approximately 80 nucleotides in length. Their secondary structure includes four short double-helical elements and three loops (D, anti-codon, and T loops). Further hydrogen bonds mediate the characteristic L-shaped molecular structure. tRNAs have two regions of fundamental functional importance: the anti-codon, which is responsible for specific mRNA codon recognition, and the 3' end, to which the tRNAs corresponding amino acid is attached (by aminoacyl-tRNA synthetases). tRNAs cope with the degeneracy of the genetic code in two manners: having more than one tRNA (with a specific anti-codon) for a particular amino acid; and 'wobble' base-pairing, i.e. permitting non-standard base-pairing at the 3rd anti-codon position.
Source: Rfam by way of RNAcentral